AGGCCAAAGUUACAAGAGACUGAAGAGGCAGUAACUCUGGCUGCUUAAAAGUGUGUUUCAGGCUACAGGCCUGCGCUGACGGGUGUGCAGAGUUUUCCUUAUCACACCCUCAAUGAUGUGAUCCACCAAAUGUCAUCUCUUCCAAUCGCCUCAGCGGCGUUUACAUGUUUUCACCUCUCCUCCCAUUCCUCCCACUCCCUCCGCUGCUGCCUUGCCCAGGGGGCUCAAAGGUCACGUCGACUUGCGCUCGUUGCGCUUUCUCCCUGCAGAGCGGGACUUCUAGCCGUCAUCCCACCGGGGACUGGACUCGAUUGAGGUUUCAUCAUCUCCCGGAUCUCUGAACUUCUUGGUUGUCUUCAUGACAAAUAUCCAGCGAUUAAAUCCAGGGUAAAGUAAAGAUUCAAGGAGUUGACGCCUGGAUGGUGAACACAGCCCUAUUUACUAUUCUGAGUUACUGGGGAGACUGAAGAGAGGAGGGAGGAGUGAGGUGCACAAGGCAGUGAGAUGUGUCCCUUCAAGCGGCCGCAGCCAGAGGGAAGUGAACGCAACUCAGCCUUCAAAAAUAAAGACCCUUUCUGUGAUAUCAGCAUGUCAUGUUUUCUCUGUUUUUUGCCCAUGUUUAUAGCUUGUUCUACCACCUAUGAGCUACAGUAAAGAAAAAAACAACAACAUUUAUUGUCCAAUCUACUCUCUAAAACUUCUCCAAGUAAAAAGGCUAACCAUGGGAAAAUGUGGAGUGAAAUUAAGUUGAAUGAAUAUGAUUUAUGUAAGGAAAAUAAACAAUGCUAUGAUGCUGACCUUCA
Scophthalmus maximus (turbot) is the source of this 803-nucleotide long non-coding RNA. RefSeq lists it as uncharacterized. Lineage: Eukaryota; Metazoa; Chordata; Actinopteri; Pleuronectiformes; Scophthalmidae. The transcript is spliced from 3 exons. The record is from RefSeq and is a predicted model, not a curated record.